CAGAAAGCGCCCUUUACGGGGAGGCAGCAGCAAGGAACGAUCCCCAAUGGGACGCAAGCAGCAGGUGUGCAACGCCGCGUGGGAGGACGACGGCCGGCGGGGUGGAAACACCCAACGGGUGGGACGACUACGACGGUACCACCAGAAGCAGCCCCGGCGAACGCUGUGCCAGCAGCCGCGGCAAGACAGAGGGGGCAAGCGUAGGCCGGAGUCACUGGGCGUAAAGGGGGAGCGGCUCGCGCGCGUAAACGCCGCAACGGCAGCGCAAGAGCAGAAAGGGGACGGAGGAGAGGCGGAGAGACCGGAGAACGACAGAGCGGAGGCCGGCCACCCGGGCGCGGCCGCACGGAGGGGAAGAGGGAGAACGAAAACCGAGCAGGAAAAGGUAGGGUGGGGGAGGGGGGGGGUAGAGGAAGGGCGGG
Molecule: ribosomal RNA, 422 nt
Filed under: uncultured bacterium
Lineage: Bacteria
Description: bacterial SSU rRNA
Rfam family: Bacterial small subunit ribosomal RNA (bases 1-202)
Source: RNAcentral